This 72-nucleotide transfer RNA is filed under the name Elateroidea sp. 3 KM-2017. Its description in RNAcentral is "tRNA-Met". It matches the Rfam family "tRNA". Rfam says of the family: Transfer RNA (tRNA) molecules are approximately 80 nucleotides in length. The record is from RNAcentral. Lineage: Eukaryota; Metazoa; Arthropoda; Insecta; Coleoptera.
AAAAAGAUAAGCUAAUCUCCAAGCUACUGGGCUCAUACCUCAUUUAUAAAGGUUCCAUCCCUUUUCUUUUUA